ACGUCAAGUCGUCAUGGCCCUUACGGGAUGGGCUACACACGUGCUACAAUGGCGGUGACAGUGGGACGCGAAGGAGCGAUCUGGAGCAAAUCCCCAAAAGCCGUCUCAGUUCGGAUUGCACUCUGCAACUCGAGUGCAUGAAGGCGGAAUCGCUAGUAAUCGUGGAUCAGCAUGCCACGGUGAAUACGUUCCCGGGCCUUGUACACACCGCCCGUCACACCAUGGGAGUUGGUCUUACCCGACGGCGCUGCGCCAACCGCAAGGAGGCAGGCGACCACGGUAGGGUCAGCGACUGGGGUG
Molecule: ribosomal RNA, 300 nt
Filed under: Methylobacterium tardum
Lineage: Bacteria; Pseudomonadati; Pseudomonadota; Alphaproteobacteria; Hyphomicrobiales; Methylobacteriaceae
Description: bacterial SSU rRNA
Rfam family: Bacterial small subunit ribosomal RNA
Source: RNAcentral